Vitis vinifera (wine grape) is the source of this 786-nucleotide long non-coding RNA. RefSeq lists it as uncharacterized. The transcript has 3 exons. The record is from RefSeq and is a predicted model, not a curated record. Lineage: Eukaryota; Viridiplantae; Streptophyta; Magnoliopsida; Vitales; Vitaceae.
UAUAUUUAGUUUAUUUAUAGUUUAUUUAGUUUCUAAAAUCCAAUUAGCUAGAUAUUUUAUUUGAUUUUGUUUUUAUAUUUAAGUAGUUGAGUUUUGGAAAGUUUUUAUAUUUUGUUAAUAGAAAUAUAUAUGAGGACUUAAAGGGUUUAUAUUUAGGUAGUGCUUGAGCCAAGGAAAAUGAUAGUCCACUAUCUUGACCCUAUGCAUCACAAACCAUGUGAGGACUUAAAGGAUAUCGUAAACAUUGUCCAAGACAAGAAAGAGGGUUCGAAUGUAGCUACUUUGUUAUGAGAUUCAUUAAAGAUAUAAUUUUUGAUCCUACAAUUAUUGCUUCAAAGGUAUUACUUAUUUAAUGAAUUGUACAUAGUUUUAGGCUUCCAAAUGUUAUGCAUUUUAAUGUUAUUUUCUUAUUCGAUUUCAGUUUGGUAAUAAAAAAAACAUAUUCUCAAGUAGAAUUCGAUGAAAUUAGAGGAGAAUGGGCUACUUUUGUGCUACAACUAAUCAUGAAUCAUGUUGAUGCAUCAUGAUCACCAUGCAUGGUAUACACUCUUGGGAGGGUGAAAUGGAGAAUAAAAAGAAAGAAGAAGGCAACAAGAUUUUGGGUUUUUAAAUGCAACUCUUAUGUCAUACGUUGUAGGACAUAAACAUUACUUUAAUUGCAACUGAGAAAUUUAGAUUUUUAGAUGGGACUUCUAUGUCAUUUUAUGGUUAGCCGGUUUUAUGCUUAUGAAAUGGAGGUAUACAUGAAUCUUGGGAUCUUUAACAUUUCUAAAUCAUGUUUUGGUA